AAAUUGAAGAGUUUGAUCAUGGCUCAGAUUGAACGCUGGCGGCAGGCCUAACACAUGCAAGUCGAGCGGAAACGGCAGCAUUGAAGCUUCGGUGGAUUUGCUGGACGUCGAGCGGCGGACGGGUGAGUAACGGCUGGGAACCUGCCCUGACGAGGGGGAUAACCGUUGGAAACGACGGCUAAUACCGCAUAAUGUCUUAGUUCAUUACGAGCUGGGAC
Molecule: ribosomal RNA, 218 nt
Filed under: Salinivibrio sp. SS3
Lineage: Bacteria; Pseudomonadati; Pseudomonadota; Gammaproteobacteria; Vibrionales; Vibrionaceae
Description: partial 16S ribosomal RNA
Rfam family: Bacterial small subunit ribosomal RNA
Source: RNAcentral